RNAcentral lists this unclassified non-coding RNA (346 nucleotides) under fungal sp. RNAcentral describes it as "partial internal transcribed spacer region". The stretch from base 1 to 46 matches the Rfam family "Eukaryotic small subunit ribosomal RNA", at positions 1786 to 1831 of the family's 1831-position model. Lineage: Eukaryota; Fungi. The record is from RNAcentral.
AAGUCGUAACAAGGUUUCCGUAGGUGAACCUGCGGAAGGAUCAUUAACACGUUAUCCACGUAUCAUCAAUGAGAACCGUUUAACCUCCCUCGGUGACAGAAUGGGCAUUUGAACUGACGGGCCGGGUUUUCACCCCGCCACUGAGUGGACAUUUGUUGCAUCUUGAUCUGAGGCUUCCACUCCGCUGCCAGCUCUCCUUCAUGGAGAGAUCGCAAGAGUUAUUAACAUUUCUAACCCCUUUUUGCUAGUUGACUUUUAUAUGUGGCGCUUCGCUUCGGUGAGGUUCACACGUUUAAUUAUUUGAACGUUAAAAAUACAACUCUUAGCAAUGGAUAUCUAGGUUCUC